RNAcentral lists this ribosomal RNA (468 nucleotides) under uncultured bacterium. RNAcentral's name for it is "partial 16S ribosomal RNA". It matches the Rfam family "Bacterial small subunit ribosomal RNA", at positions 28 to 507 of the family's 1533-position model. The record is from RNAcentral.
GACGAACGCUGGCGGCGUGCUUAACACAUGCAAGUCGAACGGAAAGGCCCUGCUUUUGUGGGGUGCUCGAGUGGCGACCGGGUGAGUAACACGUGAGUAACCUGCCCUUGACUUUGGGAUAACUUCAGGACACUGGGGCUAAUACCGGAUAGGAGCUCUCGCUGCAUGGUGGGGGUUGGAAAGAUUCGGCGGUUGGGGAUGGACUCGCGGCUCAUCAGCUUGUUGGUGGGGUAGUGGCAUACCAAGGCUUUGACGGGUAGCCGGCCUGAGAGGGUGACCUGCCACAUUGGGACUGAGAUACGGCCCAGACUCCUACGGGAGGCAGCGGUGGGGAAUGUUGCACAAUAGGCGGAAGCCUGAUGCAACAACGCCGCGUGCGGUAUGACGGCCUUCGGGUUGUAAACCGCUUUCGCCUGUGACGAAACGUGAGUGACGGUAAUGGGUAAAGAAGCACCGGCUAACUACGUG